UCCAAGUCGCAGCCCCUUGCUUCCUCCCUCCAUUCCUCCUCUUUCUCUCUCUCUCUUUCUCUCUCUCUGAACCCAGUGUUGCGGUCCAGUCGCCAACCUCCUCCUUUCCACCUCUUCUCUCCACAUCCCCUGUUUUCCUUCCCGUUCCGAGGCAUUACUGAUCGCCUUCCAAGUUCAAAUUUUGAGCUCCUUACUUUUGUUAUUGGUCCUUCGGAGAUGAGGCUAGACCGAUCUUUGCUGGCUUUUCUUUGGCUAAAAAUUUGCUGCGUAAUGGAGAAGGCGUUCUAUCACAAAACAGACUUAUCCAAUUUCAUUCCUGUGCUUUGGACUGAGAGGCUUUGCAGAAACGGUGCCUGCCAACCGGAACAGAUCCCAGACUUGGUUGGGUAGAUCUUGGAUAAUCUUUCUAGGGGAAAUACUGGGGCCAUUAAAGUUCUCCAGGAUGAAUUCCCAGAGCCUGGAAAACUUCAAUUUAUAUAUGCUGAUUUAGGAGAUGCAAAAGGUGUAAACUAUACAUGCCUUCUAAUUAUCCAUUUUUCUUAUAAAAACUAACUGCGUAUGAAAAUGGACUAGAGUUUGAUUCUUUAAUCAUUGUUCAGGUUAAUCGAAUAUUUGCAUGCAUUUGAUGCUGUUAUGCACUUCGCAGCUGUUGCUUAUGUGGGUGAAAGCACACUAGAACCUCUUAGGUACGUGCUAUUUUAUGUGGGUGAAAUUUCUAUGACGCAGACCAUGUGUAGAAAGAUCGAGCUGUAAAAUACGGGAAGGCUAAGAAAAUGGCGGAGGAUAUCAUUUGGAUUUCUCAACAGCUAGACCUCAGCAGGUCAUUUAUUAUGAUAUUUGGGCUGGCCUACUCUAGAGAUGCUUUAGAUAAUUGUAAAUAUAGGCCUAGUUUUGAUGAUUGUGUUGGUCAGACCAUCCAAACAGGCCUUUAGAAAGAUUUUCAUGAGUGGAAGAGGGUUUUACACCUGAGUUGGUUGCAGGAGCAGUUCAUUUCUUAUCUUUCACAUGAUUUUCUGUAUAACAUGGUGAUAUGAGCUGUUCAUUUCAUAUUUUGUUAUGGAUAAUAAAUCUAAUAUGUUGCAUACAGUUGAGAGAGAAGAUCUGAAAAACUCUUCUCCCCAUCCCACUUCCUUCUCUCCUCUCGUCUCUAUUCUUUUGUAGGCAGUGAGGUGUUUGGGUUGAAGGGAGAAGGUUGUGUCAUAAUGGUUAAGUGAAGGUGGCUUCAACAAGGUCGAUAGGUCCCCGGUGAUUGAAGUGGCUGGCCAUGGGGCCGGCAGUGAAGAUGCUAGAGGGCACUAUGGAGGUGGACAUGUUGAUGCUGCCAUAUAUAUAGCUAGGCGCUCGUCUUGUCGAUGGGAGUGGUGCUCGAGGUGGAUGGCUCAUUUCUUUUCUUUUUCAUUUUUCUUGUAUUUUUUUUUCUUUUUAUUCCUGUAUUUUUUUUUUUUAAACUUAUCUUAUUUCUAAUUAAAUAUGUGGUGGCUCGUCCCACCGUUUUACUUUUCUUCUCCUUCCUUCUUUUAAAGAUUGUAGUUGGUGACCAGGCCCUCUUAAUUGUUGCUAAAAACUACGCCCUCUUGUAUUUUUUUCUUACAGACUAAUGGCAAAUUGAAGACCUUUC
This is a long non-coding RNA of Elaeis guineensis (African oil palm), 1618 nucleotides long. RefSeq lists it as uncharacterized. NCBI's taxonomy places the organism in Eukaryota, Viridiplantae, Streptophyta, Magnoliopsida, Arecales, Arecaceae. The record is from RefSeq and is a predicted model, not a curated record.